This 253-nucleotide ribosomal RNA is filed under the name uncultured bacterium. RNAcentral's name for it is "partial 16S ribosomal RNA". It matches the Rfam family "Bacterial small subunit ribosomal RNA", at positions 524 to 776 of the family's 1533-position model. The record is from RNAcentral.
GACAAAGGAUGCAAGCGUUAUCCGGAAUGAUUGGGCGUAAAGCGUAUGUAGGUGGCUUUUUAAGUCCGCCGUCAAAUCCCAGGGCUCAACCCUGGACAGGCGGUGGAUAGUACCAAGCUGGAGUACGGUAGGGGCAGAGGGAAUUUCCGGUGGAGCGGUAAAAUGCGUAGAGAUCGGAAAGAACACCAACAGCGAAAGCACUCUGCUGGGCCGACACUGACACUGAGAGACGAAAGCUAGGGGAGUGAAUAGG